This 5498-nucleotide long non-coding RNA is filed under the name Callithrix jacchus (white-tufted-ear marmoset). RNAcentral describes it as "lncRNA (ENSCJAG00000073293.1)". Lineage: Eukaryota; Metazoa; Chordata; Mammalia; Primates; Cebidae. The record is from RNAcentral.
UGAGCAGCCCCAACUCACAGCCACAGCCCACAGCCCCAGCAGGUGGCCUAACUCACACAACUGGGAAAUCCUUCUACCCGAAAUGACCCACAUUUGCUCUUAACCAUAUCAGUGUGGACUUGGUCCUGCUAUUGUGUGGGCCUUUUUCAUCUUACAGGCGUCUGCAGUGACAUUAGAAAUAAAAUUUAUUUCACUCAAUGUUAUACCAUGAGUAUAUCUCCAUGAUACCUCCCUCUUUAUGUGUCAUACUCUCCCUCAUGAUACCUCCCUCUUUAUGUGUCAUACUCUCCCUUCGGGGACCGAUUGAGUGACCCAGGAUCUCCCGAAGCUUUCCCAAGGCACUCACAAAGCCAAACAGUGACUGGCUGGCAUUUGCCAGAGCUCGCCAAAUGCCAGCACCCCUGGCUAAGUGUAUACAGGAGUUAUCUCACCUAAUCCAUCUUCAUUUGUAGACCAGUAAACUGAGGAGGUUACCUGGAUGGUCAAGGUCAUCCAGUCCCUAAGUGGGAGCAGGAGCUGAGAAACAGACACGGCGAACGUGUUCCUGAAGCCAGAGCCCGCCACACUGCGGACGUCUGUCCAGUAAAGAUGACGCAGUCACACUGGCUCCCGGUCAUGCUGAGCGGCCCCAGACUCUCACCAGAGGGAUUUCACCUUAAGUCGACGCCACGUUGUGUAUCUAAAUACCUGUAUCUGAAAAGGACGCGCAGAAGCCACAGAGUUCGCCGCAGUUUACCACAGACUCGGAAACUUCAUGGGGUCCCUGCAAGUAGCGCCGUCUUCCCAGCAGCGCCGGCCCCUCGAGUCCUCCCGGAAGCAUCCGGACUCAGGCCUUGCGCUUCUCUGCCGCAUGCAACAGCCUCGUGGCCCCUAAGGCUUGCCGACUCCCCUACCAGGCUGAGCUCCCGGAGAAAGGGGUCUGUGGCCUGCAUUUGAUUUAUCCCUCACAGUUUACCGCGUGCCAGGCACUGUCCUGAGAUCCUUGCCAGUGAACCAUUUAAUCCCCUUUUAUACCUCUGGGUUCUCGUGAGGAAACAGCCGAAGAAUUCAUUUUAAACCCAGAAAGGAGGAGUAUGUGUCCCAGGUCACACAGCUGGUCGGUGUCAGAGCUUGGUUUCAAGCCCAGGCAGGCUGGUUCAAGAGUCCCAGGACUUAAUGUGGUGCCAUUCCUAGUUCAGGACGGGCAAAGAGUAGGCGCCAAGAAAUGUUUGUCCACUAAAGAGUACAAUCAUGAUGCUAGCUAACAAUUCCUGACGAUUUCUAUGUGCCAGGCACAACCAGUUAUGAGAGAAGCACACUUAUUCCCUUUGAGUCUGAGAGGAAUCUCACAUGGGAUGCUGGCAGCUGGGACUCCGGGGGUGCGGCCUGACCCUCUUGCUGAGUCUCAGAGGUGAGCUCAGCCCAGUGGUGAACAGUGAAGAAACCAAGGGCGGGACCCUCAGAGCCAUGGGCUCCCCACCCUGCUGCAGCCACAGCUGCAUGGAAUAACAGUAUGGAUUAUUGCCUAACAUCUGUUGGUGCUUACUUUGUGCCAGGCCCGGGGCUAAAUACUUACCCUGCAAAUCUCAUUCUGUCAUUUUCCAAGGAGGAAAUUGAAACCCCAAGAAGUUAAAAACAUCACCUACCUGAGGCCACUCCAGUAGUGGGGAGUGAGGAGGCUGAUGCUGGAAUCCAGAUGGUUCCAAAGAGCCCUGACUCUUCAACCCACUCUUGGCAGUUCCCAAACUUGCCCAAAAACACUAACUGCCUGGAGGUCGGGACCAACCCAAACCCCUGCCUGCCCCAGCUCCCUUGCACUGGACUCCUCAGAAACAGGGCCUGCGAAACUGCAUUGGUGUCCAGGUGAUUCUCAUCAGCUGGCAGGUAGGAGAACCGCAACCGUCCCAGACUGCGCAGGCUCCAGUUCUUGAGGGCCUGGGAGAAACUGGAGUCAGAUUUCCCCUCUCCGGGCCCUGCUCUUCUAUCUCAGGGUCUCUGUGUGUUUGCUGUAAUCCAGUGGCUGAGGCUGCUGCACAAGCCAGGUGGCUGUCAGGACCCCAAGCGGGAAAGUAAAAUGACAGGUUGGGAGAGGGACUCUGGGACAUGCCUGUUUCGGUCCAGACCCCAAAGCCAUCCCUGUGGCUUGGGAAGCUCAGGUCCUGCCCAUGCUGCUUUGGAGAGAAGAGCAAUUUGGGGGGACUAGUAUUCAGAGACAGUCUAUAUGUUCUACCCAAAUCCGAAACUCCACACUGGAGUCCUGCAGGAAGGAAACUAGGAGCGAACCAGCCAUAGUGUUCUAGGCUCUCUGUGUGAGCUCACUGAAGCCGUGAAACCUGCUGUUUAUUGUAGAGUCCAUUUUACAAAUGAAGAAAGUGAGCCUCAAAAAGGUCUUGUCAGGCCAGGCAUGGUGGCUCAUGCCUGUGAUUCUAGCACUUUUGGAGGCUGACACAGAAGGAUUGCUUGAGCCCAGGAGUUCAAGACCAGCCUGGGCAGCACUGUGAGAUCUUGUCUCUACAAAAAAUCAAAAAAUUAGCUGAGCAUGGUGACACACAUCUGUGGUCCCAGCUACUCAGGAGGCUGAGGCCGGAGGAUGGCUUGGGCCUGGGAGGUCAUGGCUGCAAUGAGUCGUGAUUGUGCCACUGCACUCCAGUCUGGAAAACAGAGUAAGACUUUGUCUCAAAAAAAAAAAAAAAAAAGUUUACUCACUUGCCCCAUUCCUGCAAUUAGAAAAUAGUCAAGCUGAGUUACAUCACCAAAUCCCCUUCUUUCCAGUAUGCCCCAAACUAUCCCCACCUAUCUUGAACUCCAGUUUGACAGACAUCCUGAAAUGGGCUCAUAGUAGCCUCACGACACCCUCCUCACUCCCUGCCCCUGACUGAUUUCCUCUGCCCUCAGCUUUUUAGGUGAGUUUUUGGGGGCUUUUUGGCUUGUUGUUUUUUUUUGAGAUGGAGUUUCACUUUUGUUACCCAGGCUGGAGUGCAAUGACAUGAUCUCGGCUCACUGCAAUCUCCACCUCCCAGGUUCAAGCGAUUCUCCUGCCUCAGCCUCUCGAGUAGCUGGGAUUACAGGCAUGUGCCACCAUACCCGGUGGUCAUUUUUUUGUAUUUUAGUAGAGACAGGGUUUCUCCAUGUUGGUCAGGCUGGUCUCAGACUCCUGACCUCAGGUAAUCCAUCCGCCUCAGCCUCCCAAAGUGCUGGGAUUACAGGCAUGAGCCACCGCUCCCAGCCCUAGGUGAGAUCUUUAAAAUAAGUGGCUAUAGGCUGAAAGUACCUCCUGUGAUGAACUAGUUCACCCAGGCCCUGGACCGCCAAACAACUACUCGGCUGCUUAAGAGGGCUCACGAGUACAGACCAGAGACAAAGCAGGAGAAGAAGCAGAGGCUUUUGGCCCAGGCCAAGAAGAAAGCUGCCGGCAAAGAGGACGUCCCCACUAAGACACCACCUGUCCUUUGAGCAGGAGUUAACACUGUCACCAGCUUGGUGGAAAACAGGAAAGCUCAGCUGGUAGUGACUGCACACAACAUGGAUCCCAUCAAGCUGGCUGUCUCCCUGCCUGCCCUGUGUUGUACAAUGGGGGUUCCUUACUGCAUUAUCAAGGGGAAGGCAAGAUUGGGACAUCUAGUCCACAGGAAGACCUGCAUUACUUUCGCCUUCACACAAGUUGACUCAGAAGACAAAGGCACUUUGGCUAAGCUGGUGGAAGGUAUCAGGACCAAUUUCAAUGACAGAUGAGAUUCACCAUCACUGGGGAGGCAAUGUCUGGGUCCCAAGUCUGUGGCUCGCAUUGCCAAGCUCGAAAAGGCAAAGGCUAAAGAACUUGCCACCAAGCUGGGUUAAAUGUGCACUGUUCAGUUUUCUCUAUGUAAAAAUAAUUAAAACAAUACAAAUUUUCCUUCAAAAAAUAAAGAAUAAGAUAAGCAGUUUUGGAAGGGAGUUUGCAUUUUCAAUUAAUGCAACCAUUAACUAUUCAUUAUUAUCCUCCUGUGGCCCUUCAUAAAUUACCAUUCAAUUUCAGCAAUAGGAAACACGUAUUGCCAACAAUGUUAGUUUAGCUUUCUCCUUACAAAAAAUAAUUUUUUUCUUUUCUUGCUGUGUUGUCCAGAUUGGACUUGAACUACUGGGCUCAAGCAAUCCUCUGACCUCAGCCUCACAAACAGCUGGGACUGCAGGCGCUCCACCAUGCCUAGCCUCUUCCUACAAAUUAAAAUGAAUAACUUCCUCUUUCCCCAACUCCAGGCAAAUCUGAUGCUUUGCAAAUCUGAUGUUCUCUCUGGUGGCUCUUUUCACACCUUUCCAUGAUCCAGAUUUCCUAACCACCUAAUGUAAACUCCUCAAAAGCCUUUUGAAAAGAUUUGAGGCUUAAACAUGUAAAUAAAUAAAUAAAUAAAUGAUGGUUUGAAAUAUCCCUAAGUGUUUUCUAGAUUCAGUGUACUCUCAAUCAAAGUGCUAAUAGUGCAUUUGUGUAUUCUGUGAUGUCACAGCUAAAUAGAAAUUUCACAUGGAAGUGUAGAGGUCUAAGAAUAGCCAAGACAUUCUUUUUUUUUUUUCUUUUAAUGACAGGGUGUUCCUCUGUCACCCAGGCUGGAGUGCAGUGGUGCAAUCAUGGCUUACUGUGUCCUCAACCUCCUGGGCUCAAGCAAUCCUCUCACCUAAGCCUCCUGAGUAACUGACACCACAGGUGCACACUACCACACCCAGCUAAUAUAUAUAUUUGGGGUGUGUGUGUGUGUGUGUGUGUGUUGCCAAGUUGGUCUUGAACUCCUGUACUCAAGCAGUCCUCCCACCUCAGCCUGCCAAAGUGUUGUGAUUUCAGGCAUAAGCCACCAUGUCUAGAUUCUGGUCACCGAGGCUGGAGUGCAGUGGCAUGAUCUUGACUCACUGCAGUCUCAAACUCCUAGGCUCAUGUGAUUCUCCCACCUCAGCCUUCCAAGUAUCUGGGACUGCAGGUGCACACCACCAUGCCUGGCUAAAUUUUUUGCACUUAUAGUAGAGAUGGGGUUUCAACAUGUUUCCCAGACUGAUCUCAAACUCCUGGACUCAAGUAAUCCACCUGUCUCAGUCUCCCAAAGUGCUGGGCUUAUAGGCAUGAGCCACUGCACCUAGCCUCAAUACAGUCUUAAAUAAAGAAAUAAGGAAAACGAGAUGGGGGGUUCUUUCCUAUCAGUUAACAAGGCUUGUAAAACUAUGGUAGUUAACACUGUGAUACUGACUCAAGGGCAGAAAAAAUGGACCAAUGAGGCAGAAUAGAGAUCCUAGAGUCAGAAGUAUAUAUAUAUAAAAUCAAUGACAGGGUUAGUUUUGUUUUGGGGAAAGUGAGAUUUGUGGUUUUUUUAUUAGAAGAAAUUUGAGACAGAGUCUUGCUCUGUCACCCAGGAUGGAGUGCAAUGGCACAAUCGCAACUCACUGCAGUCUUUACCUCUCAGGCUCAAUUGAUCCUCCUGCCUCAGUCUCCCAAGUAGCUGGGACUAUAGGUGUGCCACCACACCCAGCUAGUUUUGUUAUUGUUGUUGCCUGCAGAG